CCUACGGGGGGCAGCAGUGGGGAAUAUUGGACAAUGGCGGGAACCCUGAUCCAGCCAUGCCGCGUGUGUGAAGAAGGCCCUCGGGUUGUAAAGCACUUUCAGUGAGGAAGAACGCCUGGUGGUUAAUACCCAUCAGGAAAGACAUCACUCACAGAAGAAGCACCGGCUAACUCCGUGCCAGCAGCCGCGGUAAUACGGAGGGUGCGAGCGUUAAUCGGAAUUACUGGGCGUAAAGCGCGCGUAGGUGGCUUGAUAAGCCGGUUGUGAAAGCCCCGGGCUCAACCUGGGAACGGCAUCCGGAACUGUCAAGCUAGAGUGCAGGAGAGGAAGGUAGAAUUCCCGGUGUAGCGGUGAAAUGCGUAGAGAUCGGGAGGAAUACCAGUGGCGAAGGCGGCCUUCUGGACUGACACUGACACUGAGGUGCGAAAGCGUGGGUAGCAAACAGGAUUAGAUACCCCAGUAGUC
This 465-nucleotide ribosomal RNA is filed under the name Vreelandella stevensii. RNAcentral describes it as "partial 16S ribosomal RNA". It matches the Rfam family "Bacterial small subunit ribosomal RNA", at positions 338 to 795 of the family's 1533-position model. Lineage: Bacteria; Pseudomonadati; Pseudomonadota; Gammaproteobacteria; Oceanospirillales; Halomonadaceae. The record is from RNAcentral.